Molecule: ribosomal RNA, 460 nt
Filed under: uncultured bacterium
Lineage: Bacteria
Description: partial 16S ribosomal RNA
Rfam family: Bacterial small subunit ribosomal RNA
Source: RNAcentral
CCUACGGGAGGCAGCAGUGAGGAAUAUUGGUCAAUGGACGAGAGUCUGAACCAGCCAAGUAGCGUGAAGGAUGACUGCCCUAUGGGUUGUAAACUUCUUUUAUAAGGGAAUAAAACGAGGCACGUGUGCCUUUUUGCAUGUACUUUAUGAAUAAGGAUCGGCUAACUCCGUGCCAGCAGCCGCGGUAAUACGGAGGAUCCGAGCGUUAUCCGGAUUUAUUGGGUUUAAAGGGAGCGUAGAUGGGUUGUUAAGUCAGUUGUGAAAGUUUGGGGCUCAACCGUAAAAUUGCAAUUGAUACUGGCAGUCUUGAGUACAGUUGAGGUAGGCGGAAUGCGUGGUGUAGCGGUGAAAUGCUUAGAUAUCACGAAGAACCCCGAUUGCGAAGGCAGCUUACUAAACUGUAACUGACAUUGAUGCUCGAAAGUGUGGGUAGCAAACAGGAUUAGAUACCCGAGUAGUC